UACGGGGGGAGCAAGCGUUGUUCGGAUUUACUGGGCGUAAAGGGCGCGUAGGCGGCGCCGCAAGUCGACUGUGAAAUCUCCGGGCUUAACCCGGAAAGGUCAGCCGAUACUGCGGGGCUAGAGUGCAGAAGGGGCAACUGGAAUUCUCGGUGUAGCGGUGAAAUGCGUAGAUAUCGAGAGGAACACCUGCGGCGAAGGCGGGUUGCUGGGCUGACACUGACGCUGAUGCGCGAAAGCGUGGGGAGCAAACAGG
Molecule: ribosomal RNA, 253 nt
Filed under: uncultured bacterium
Lineage: Bacteria
Description: partial 16S ribosomal RNA
Rfam family: Bacterial small subunit ribosomal RNA
Source: RNAcentral